AAAUAGAUACCCGGGUAGUCCACGCUGUAAACGAUGAGCACUAGGUGUCGCGGGUAUUGACCCCUGCGGUGCCGUCGCUAACGCAUUAAGUGCUCCGCCUGGGGACUACGGCCGCAAGGCUAAAACUCAGAGGAAUUGACGGGGGCCCGCACAAGCGGUGGAGCAUGUGGUUCAAUUCGACGCAACGCGAAGAACCUUACCUGGGCUAGACAACGGAGGACCGCCUCGGAGACGAGGUUUUCCCUUCGGGGACUUCCGGUUCAGGUGCUGCAUGGCUGUCGUCAGCUCGUGUCGUGAGAUGUUGGGUUAAGUCCCGCAACGAGCGCAACCCUUGCCCCUAGUUGCCAUCACUUCAGUUGGGCACUCUAGGGGGACUGCCCGCGUCAAGCGGGAGGAAGGUGGGGAUGACGUCAAGUCCUCAUGGCCCUUAUGUCCAGGGCUACACACGUGCUACAAUGGGCGGUACAAAGGGCAGCGAACCCGCGAGGGGAAGCCAAUCCCAAAAAGCCGUCCUCAGUUCGGAUCGGAGUCUGCAACUCGACUCCGUGAAGGUG
Molecule: ribosomal RNA, 554 nt
Filed under: uncultured bacterium
Lineage: Bacteria
Description: bacterial SSU rRNA
Rfam family: Bacterial small subunit ribosomal RNA
Source: RNAcentral